AUGGCGAGCACCGCGCUGAGCAUGAAGCUCCUCAUCGACACCAAGGCCCAGCGCGUGCUGUUCGCGGAGGCGAGCAAGGACGUGGUGGACUUCCUCUUCUCCCUACUCUCGCUGCCCGUCGGCACCGCCGUCAAGCUGCUGGGGAAGGAAGCCAUGGUCGGCUGCGUCGGCAACCUCUACGGCAGCGUCGAGAAGCUUGACAGCACCUACGUCCAGCCCGACGCGGCCAAGGACGCCCUCCUCCACCCCGCCGUGCUCUCGCCCGCGGCUGGCACCAAGAUGUUCCGCUUGACGCAGCCGUCUUCUGGGCAGUCCAAGGGAUUCUUCAAAUGCAGCUACAGCGGCUGCACCAGCUACGUGACCGACACCAGCGGCACCAUGUGCCAGUGCGGUCGCGGUUGCUCGAUGACCACGGCCAUGCACUUCAUCCCAGGCAAUGGCAAGGUGGCCGCCAGCGUCGGCACCAAGGGGUUCGUGCAGGGCAUCGUGACGUACACGGUGAUGGACGAUCUCGCCGUGACGCCCAUGUCCUCCAUCUCCAGCAUCACCCUGCUCAACACAUUCGCCGUCAAGGAUCUCAGCGCGCUCCAGGAGAAGACCGUGCAGCUCGGCUACGACGAGGGCCUGGAGAUCCUCAAGGCGUCGCUGCAGUCCAAGACCGUCCUCACCGACGUCUUCCUCAAGGCCCCCAGCAGCGCUUGA
This 702-nucleotide ribosomal RNA is filed under the name Triticum aestivum (bread wheat). Its description in RNAcentral is "partial small subunit ribosomal RNA". Lineage: Eukaryota; Viridiplantae; Streptophyta; Magnoliopsida; Poales; Poaceae. The record is from RNAcentral.